This 1372-nucleotide ribosomal RNA is filed under the name uncultured bacterium. Its description in RNAcentral is "bacterial SSU rRNA". It matches the Rfam family "Bacterial small subunit ribosomal RNA", at positions 28 to 1381 of the family's 1533-position model. The record is from RNAcentral.
GAUGAACGCUGGCGGCGUGCCUAAUACAUGCAAGUCGAGCGAACAAACGAGGAGCUUGCUCCUUUGACGUUAGCGGCGGACGGGUGAGUAACACGUGGGUAACCUACCUAUAAGACUGGGAUAACUUCGGGAAACCGGAGCUAAUACCGGAUAAUAUUUCGAACCGCAUGGUUCGAUAGUGAAAGAUGGCUUUGCUAUCACUUAUAGAUGGACCUGCGCCGUAUUAGCUAGUUGGUAAGGUAACGGCUUACCAAGGCAACGAUACGUAGCCGACCUGAGAGGGUGAUCGGCCACACUGGAACUGAGACACGGUCCAGACUCCUACGGGAGGCAGCAGUAGGGAAUCUUCCGCAAUGGGCGAAAGCCUGACGGAGCAACGCCGCGUGAGUGAUGAAGGUCUUCGGAUCGUAAAACUCUGUUAUUAGGGAAGAACAAACGUGUAAGUAACUGUGCACGUCUUGACGGUACCUAAUCAGAAAGCCACGGCUAACUACGUGCCAGCAGCCGCGGUAAUACGUAGGUGGCAAGCGUUAUCCGGAAUUAUUGGGCGUAAAGCGCGCGUAGGCGGUUUUUUAAGUCUGAUGUGAAAGCCCACGGCUCAACCGUGGAGGGUCAUUGGAAACUGGAAAACUUGAGUGCAGAAGAGGAAAGUGGAAUUCCAUGUGUAGCGGUGAAAUGCGCAGAGAUAUGGAGGAACACCAGUGGCGAAGGCGACUUUCUGGUCUGUAACUGACGCUGAUGUGCGAAAGCGUGGGGAUCAAACAGGAUUAGAUACCCUGGUAGUCCACGCCGUAAACGAUGAGUGCUAAGUGUUAGGGGGUUUCCGCCCCUUAGUGCUGCAGCUAACGCAUUAAGCACUCCGCCUGGGGAGUACGACCGCAAGGUUGAAACUCAAAGGAAUUGACGGGGACCCGCACAAGCGGUGGAGCAUGUGGUUUAAUUCGAAGCAACGCGAAGAACCUUACCAAAUCUUGACAUCCUUUGACCCUUCUAGAGAUAGAAGUUUCCCCUUCGGGGGACAAAGUGACAGGUGGUGCAUGGUUGUCGUCAGCUCGUGUCGUGAGAUGCUGGGUUAAGUCCCGCAACGAGCGCAACCCUUAAGCUUAGUUGCCAUCAUUAAGUUGGGCACUCUAAGUUGACUGCCGGUGACAAACCGGAGGAAGGUGGGGAUGACGUCAAAUCAUCAUGCCCCUUAUGAUUUGGGCUACACACGUGCUACAAUGGACAAUACAAAGGGCAGCGAAACCGCGAGGUCAAGCAAAUCCCAUAAAGUUGUUCUCAGUUCGGAUUGUAGUCUGCAACUCGACUACAUGAAGCUGGAAUCGCUAGUAAUCGUAGAUCAGCAUGCUACGGUGAAUACGUUCCCGGGUCU